RNAcentral lists this long non-coding RNA (373 nucleotides) under Nicotiana benthamiana. Its description in RNAcentral is "long non-coding RNA (NBEN_LNC042091)". Lineage: Eukaryota; Viridiplantae; Streptophyta; Magnoliopsida; Solanales; Solanaceae. The record is from RNAcentral.
CACACAAUAACUAUAACUAUUCUAAACAACCCAAUUGCAUAAAAAAUACAGAAAUAGAAAAUUGCAUAACCGAUUUUUAAUUUCUUGUUCAAUAGGAAAAAAAGAAGAAAAAGGAAACGAAACAACUAAAGAGAAACAAAUUAAACAUACCCUUUAUUAGGCAGAUAAUCCAAUGGCAGAGUUUGUGUAAAGUAUGGAAAUUUGACCCCAACCUUCUGAGUUUGAGGCGAUGAAUGUUGAAACCUUUUGAGUUCUGACUAAUGACAAAGUUUGCUUUCUGGACUUUGAACACAAUUGAAAUCGCCACUUAAUUAGGGAUUGUAGCGUGAAAGUAAUUUUUUGGGAGAGAUUUUAGGGUGAAAGUAAAUUUUUG